This 300-nucleotide long non-coding RNA is filed under the name Nicotiana benthamiana. Its description in RNAcentral is "long non-coding RNA (NBEN_LNC024851)". Lineage: Eukaryota; Viridiplantae; Streptophyta; Magnoliopsida; Solanales; Solanaceae. The record is from RNAcentral.
UCUCCUUCUUUGUUUCCAAAUAUCAGGUAUAUGUUCUAAAGCUCUCGAGUUUGUGCAAAUAAAGUAAAAUGUUAUUUGAAGUGGAUCUCCAAGCCUUCUUGUUUUCUAUUCAAGUUUAGUAUAAGUCAGUUGUUUAUUCGACAUUUCAUGACAUUUGUAGACUAAAUUGAUCCUGGAUUGUAUAAAUUAGACUUUGAACUAUUGAGCAUAAGUUUGUUUCAUUUGGUCUAUUAAAUAUGCGUAGGAGCUAGAAAUGCACAUAAGUUUGGAUGUGUAUCAGCUGUAGCAAUUUCAUACUAG